GUUGUAUGGUUAAGUGAUUAAGCGUAGACGGUGGAUGCCUUGGCAGUCAGAGGCGAUGAAGGACGUACUAANUCCGAAUGGGGAAACCCACCUGCAUAAGCAGGUAUCUUAGYGUGAAUACAUAGCGCUAAGAGGCGAACUCGGGGAACUGAAACAUCUAAGUACCCGAAGGAAAAGAAAUCAAUUGAGAUUCCGGCAGUAGCGGCGAGCGAACCCGGAGCAGCCCUUAAGCGGCUUAGGCGUUAGGUGAACAGGUUGGAAAACCUGGCAAUAAAGGGUGAUAGCCCCGUAACCGACGGCGCCUUAGACGUGAAAACGAGUAGGACGGGACACGUGAUAUCUUGUCUGAACAUGGGGGGACCAUCCUCCAAGGCUAAAUACUCCUGACUGACCGAUAGUGAACCAGUACCGUGAGGGAAAGGCGAAAAGAACCCCUGUGAGGGGAGUGAAAUAGAACCUGAAACCGUCUACGUACAAGCAGUGGGAGCC
This 489-nucleotide ribosomal RNA is filed under the name Salinivibrio sp. ML290. Its description in RNAcentral is "bacterial LSU rRNA". It matches the Rfam family "Bacterial large subunit ribosomal RNA", at positions 1 to 581 of the family's 2925-position model. Lineage: Bacteria; Pseudomonadati; Pseudomonadota; Gammaproteobacteria; Vibrionales; Vibrionaceae. The record is from RNAcentral.